Molecule: small RNA, 55 nt
Filed under: Arabidopsis thaliana (thale cress)
Lineage: Eukaryota; Viridiplantae; Streptophyta; Magnoliopsida; Brassicales; Brassicaceae
Description: ATSL218420
Source: RNAcentral
UGUUGUCUUCUCCAAGGUGAUCUCUUGGUUCUGAGAUGCGUCUUCCUGUUUGUUA